GAUGAAGAACGUAGCGAAAUGCGAUAAGUAAUGUGAAUUGCAGAAUUCAGUGAAUCAUCGAAUCUUUGAACGCACAUUGCGCCCGUCAGUAUUCUGGCGGGCAUGCCUGUUCGAGCGUCAUUACGCCCCUCAAGUCCCCUGUGGACUUGGUGUUGGGGAUCGGCGAGGCUGGUUUUCCAGCACAGCCGUCCCUUAAAUUAAUUGGCGGUCUCGCCGUGGCCCUCCUCUGCGCAGUAGUAAAACACUCCCAACAGGAGCCCGGCGCGGUCCACUGCCGUAAAACCCCCCAACUUUUUAUAGUUGACCUCGAAUCAGGUAGGACUACCCGCUGAACUUAAGCAUAUCAAUAAGCGGAGGA
RNAcentral lists this unclassified non-coding RNA (358 nucleotides) under soil metagenome. RNAcentral's name for it is "partial contains 5.8S ribosomal RNA, internal transcribed spacer 2, and large subunit ribosomal RNA". The stretch from base 1 to 120 matches the Rfam family "5.8S ribosomal RNA", at positions 35 to 154 of the family's 154-position model. The record is from RNAcentral.